Long non-coding RNA from Apus apus (common swift), 980 nucleotides. RefSeq lists it as uncharacterized. The record is from RefSeq and is a predicted model, not a curated record. NCBI's taxonomy places the organism in Eukaryota, Metazoa, Chordata, Aves, Apodiformes, Apodidae. The transcript has 3 exons.
GCUGCAGGCAGGGCAGGCUCCAUGAGUGUUGGCCUGGUGGUCUCCAUUGAUGGACUCUGAACGGUUUUCCUUUGCAGCAGGAAAAAGCAGCAGCAGCAGGAGGAAGAGCAAGGGGCUGCCCUGGCCCUUUGCUCUGCAGCAGAGCCCGUCCACUGCCCAGGCUGCAGGGCAGGCGGGCUUCUGCUGCAGCAGGAUACUCUGGGCAGCCCCUGGCAGCGCUCUGCAGGGAGGAUGACCUAAUGCCCCACCCCAGCCAGGAGCGGCUGGAUGUCCUGCAGCGCCAAGGACCGGCUGAGAAGGGGAUACUCUGCAGAGCUGCCAGCAGGAUGGAGCUGUGGGAGGCUCUGGACCACAGCGAAGACCUGGACCUAGGAAGCCAGCCUGUGCUGCUCUUGGCUGUCAUCUGGAAGGGUUUGAGAUCCUCGUUGACCACCCCCUUCCCCACGUGGUGAAGUGUGUGCAGCUCGUGCCAGGUGUGAAAUGUGUUCACCUAAUUCGUGUUAAAAUGGAACAAUGUUAAGAGUCACAGGGUGAAGAAUAAUUUUUUUGUUUAACAUGGAACAAUGUUAAGAGUCAUAGAAUGAAGAAUAAUUCUUUGUGUAUAGUAUUGCACACUUUUGUACACAGUAAAAUUUUUAUCUCUGCUUGUGCUUCCUGUUUUUGUAUAGUGUAAAAAAAUUUUUAUCUUUUGCUUGCACUGCAUGUUGCUCUCGUAUUGUGUAUCCUCUGCUUGCAUUGCAUGUGAUUUUUCUAUUGUGUAGCAGACAUUGGGCAAACAUCUUAAAAGUUAUUUUUUUAGCAUAAACCAGCUUUGUUGUUAACCACAAGAAUGUUAUAAAGCAGAUUCUUGGAAAUAAUUAGCAUAAGCUGACCCUUUUCUCGAAAUAGUAAUGAAUAUGUAUCAGUUGAGAAGAUAUAAGUCAAAUCCUGGAACUGUUUGGCGCGCGUCUCGGUGGAGCGGAGACUCCCCGCGUGCCCAG